CAAACAUUCUUAAUUUCAUUCAAAAUAAGAACAAGUCGUGUAUUGUCUUUGUCAUCGUUUGCGUUGAAAUAAUGACAAAACAAUUGAUUUGCUUUGUUUUGCUGGUUCAGAUUUCUCUCUUUCAGUCUGAAAUUUGUCUUGGUGAAUCCGGAAAACAUUGCUGUGUUGGAUUUAGAUGGAACGAUACACAAAAGAAAUGUUUACCAUGUGUUAGCGGAUAUUAUGGAAUUAACUGUAGCUCGGAGUGCAGCUUUCCUCUGUAUGGAAUGAACUGUAUGUCAAACUGUAACUGCUCUGAGAACGACUGUAAUCGUGUGUACGGUUGUUUAAUGUCUA
This is a long non-coding RNA of Magallana angulata, 336 nucleotides long. RefSeq lists it as uncharacterized. Lineage: Eukaryota; Metazoa; Mollusca; Bivalvia; Ostreida; Ostreidae. The record is from RefSeq and is a predicted model, not a curated record. The transcript has 3 exons.